RNAcentral lists this small RNA (698 nucleotides) under Drosophila pseudoobscura pseudoobscura. RNAcentral's name for it is "GA30655". Lineage: Eukaryota; Metazoa; Arthropoda; Insecta; Diptera; Drosophilidae. The record is from RNAcentral.
CAUUACACUCGAAACUCAAUUGCGAAUCCAGACGCCAAAAGGAAAGAACGUCGCCGCCGAAGGAGCUGGAUGCCGCUAAACGAGUACCGAUGGCGAGAGGGGAAAAAGAGAAGAAUCCAAAGAAACAGCCGGCAUAAAAAUUACAAAUUAAAAAACGCUUGAAAAUAAUAAUACUCGCAAGAAGCGGGAAAUCGGUAAAGAGGAAGCCGGGGUAAAGUAAAAACUUUUGCCGAGCAACAAAAGCUAAUUAAGCCAUGGCGCACACAGACACAGACGCAGGCACAGACCCAGAACAAAGCAGAUAUGGAAAAACAAAUGGAAAAUGGAAAAAGAAAAUGGGUAGAAAAACUAAAGUAAAUUGAAAACUAGCAGAAAGGAAACGAACGUUGUGGAAGAAAGCUCAAGGAAGCUGUUAAAUAGCUUAAAUGGCGUUGAGCGUGUACGACAUGUGUUUGAGAUGCACCAGGAUAGUGGAAGAUACAUAGAUAUGGGGAUGUGGAUGUGCACUGGAAUGGGUAUCUUGCGGAACUUCAUGCACUUAUCAUUUCUAAUUGGAAAUCCGGUUCAAGCCGCCAAGAUCCGCUUACUAUACCAUACAGAAUUGAAAGAGCAAUGUACCGAUAGCUGCACAAGGGUAUAUCCACUUGAAUAGGGAAUCAUAUCACCUGCCUAUCAAAUACAAUCUUCAUAUAAAUGCA